GGGGAAUAUUGCACAAUGGGCGCAAGCCUGAUGCAGCCAUGCCGCGUGUGUGAAGAAGGCCUUCGGGUUGUAAAGCACUUUCAGCGGGGAGGAAGGCGUUAAGGUUAAUAACCUUGUCGAUUGACGUUACCCGCAGAAGAAGCACCGGCUAACUCCGUGCCAGCAGCCGCGGUAAUACGGAGGGUGCAAGCGUUAAUCGGAAUUACUGGGCGUAAAGCGCACGCAGGCGGUCUGUCAAGUCGGAUGUGAAAUCCCCGGGCUCAACCUGGGAACUGCAUUCGAAACUGGCAGGCUAGAGUCUUGUAGAGGGGGGUAGAAUUCCAGGUGUAGCGGUGAAAUGCGUAGAGAUCUGGAGGAAUACCGGUGGCGAAGGCGGCCCCCUGGACAAAGACUGACGCUCAGGUGCGAAAGCGUGGGGAGCAAAC
This 425-nucleotide ribosomal RNA is filed under the name uncultured bacterium. RNAcentral's name for it is "bacterial SSU rRNA". It matches the Rfam family "Bacterial small subunit ribosomal RNA", at positions 356 to 773 of the family's 1533-position model. The record is from RNAcentral.